UGGGAGUAACUAUCUACCUAUCUAUCAGUGGAACUAAGAAGGUGAACAAGGAUCUCAGCCUUCAUAACCUUUGGAUAGUUCGACUAUGAGGAAUGCUCUGAACUGUCUCCCAGAGGUUUUGGUCAGUUAGGCAAUCAUCCUUGACAGUCUGAUAAUCAUAGGUUCUCACUGGAUUACGUCCCUGAAUACAAAGACUUUUAAGAGAAACUUAAGGAGUGUAUCUGUGAAGGAUAUAUUUAAAAAUAUUUUGUGUAGGGGCUGGCACUGUGGCACAGUGGGUUAAUGCCCUGGCCUGAAGCACUGGCAUCCCAUAUGGACGCCGGUUCUAGUCUCUGCUGCUCCAC
This 344-nucleotide long non-coding RNA is filed under the name Oryctolagus cuniculus (rabbit). Its description in RNAcentral is "lncRNA (ENSOCUG00000029795.1)". Lineage: Eukaryota; Metazoa; Chordata; Mammalia; Lagomorpha; Leporidae. The record is from RNAcentral.